This 254-nucleotide ribosomal RNA is filed under the name uncultured bacterium. RNAcentral's name for it is "partial 16S ribosomal RNA". It matches the Rfam family "Bacterial small subunit ribosomal RNA", at positions 524 to 777 of the family's 1533-position model. The record is from RNAcentral.
UACGUAGGUGGCGAGCGUUGUCCGGAUUUACUGGGCGUAAAGAGCGCGCAGGCGGUCGUGCAAGUCGCGUGUGAAAGCCCCCGGCUCAACUGGGGAGGGUCACGCGAUACUGCUCGACUCGAAGGCAGGAGAGGGAAGUGGAAUUCCCGGUGUAGUGGUGAAAUGCGUAGAUAUCGGGAGGAACACCAGUGGCGAAGGCGACUUCCUGGCCUGUUCUUGACGCUGAGGCGCGAAAGCUAGGGUAGCAAACGGGG